This 468-nucleotide ribosomal RNA is filed under the name uncultured bacterium. RNAcentral's name for it is "partial 16S ribosomal RNA". It matches the Rfam family "Bacterial small subunit ribosomal RNA", at positions 28 to 507 of the family's 1533-position model. The record is from RNAcentral.
GACGAACGCUGGCGGCGUGCUUAACACAUGCCAGUCGAACGGAAAGGCCCUGCUUUUGUGGGGUGCUCGAGUGGCGAACGGGUGAGUAACACGUGAGUAACCUGCCCUUGACUUUGGGAUAACUUCAGGAAACUGGGGCUAAUACCGGAUAGGAGCUCCUGCUGCAUGGGGGGGGUUGGAAAGUUUCGGCGGUUGGGGAUGGACUCGCGGCUUAUCAGCUUGUUGGUGGGGUAGUGGCUUACCAAGGCUUUGACGGGUAGCCGGCCUGAGAGGGUGACCGGCCACAUUGGGACUGAGAUACGGCCCAGACUCCUACGGGAGGCAGCAGUGGGGAAUAUUGCACAAUGGGCGGAAGCCUGAUGCAGCAACGCCGCGUGCGGGAUGACGGCCUUCGGGUUGUAAACCGAUUUCGCCUGUGACGAAGCGUGAGUGACGGUAAUGGGUAAAGAAGCACCGGCUAACUACGUG